Molecule: ribosomal RNA, 529 nt
Filed under: uncultured bacterium
Lineage: Bacteria
Description: bacterial SSU rRNA
Rfam family: Bacterial small subunit ribosomal RNA
Source: RNAcentral
AAUAGAUAUCCCGGUAGUCCACGCCGUAAACGUUGGGCGCUAGAUGUGGGGACCUUUCCACGGUUUCCGUGUCGUAGCUAACGCAUUAAGCGCCCCGCCUGGGGAGUACGGCCGCAAGGCUAAAACUCAAAGGAAUUGACGGGGGCCCGCACAAGCGGCGGAGCAUGCGGAUUAAUUCGAUGCAACGCGAAGAACCUUACCAAGGCUUGACAUACACGAGAACGGGCCAGAAAUGGUCAACUCUUUGGACACUCGUGAACAGGUGGUGCAUGGUUGUCGUCAGCUCGUGUCGUGAGAUGUUGGGUUAAGUCCCGCAACGAGCGCAACCCUCGUCGCAUGUUGCCAGCACGUUAUGGUGGGGACUCAUGUGAGACUGCCGGGGUCAACUCGGAGGAAGGUGGGGAUGACGUCAAAUCAUCAUGCCCCUUAUGUCUUGGGCUUCACGCAUGCUACAAUGGCCGGUACAAAGGGCUGCGAUGUCGUAAGGCGGAGCGAAUCCCAAAAAGCCGGUCUCAGUUCGGAUUGAGGU